GAGAGAGAGGCUAUUUUGGCUUCUUCAUGUAAAAAGCCUCCACAGUAACAGGAAGUCACGAUGCCUCAGAUGAGCUUUAUUCUCAUGUUUUUAGUGAUGAGAUUUUCUGCUUCUGAGGAAGUGAAGAAGAACCUGACGGGCACUGUGGGAGGAAACAUCACUCUACCUGCACCUGUGCUGGAGAAAGGAUAUCUGUUAUAUGGAAGAAAGAAUAUUGCUCAUGUGAUUAAGGGGGGAUUUGACAUAUCAGAGGACAUUUACAAGAACAGACUUCAGUGGGACAGAAACUCUGGACUCUUUACACUCACAGAGCUGCAGAGGAACGACUCAGGGAGUUAUACUGUCGACUCUAAAACAGGAAACGAUUUCACAUCAUCAUAUAAGCUGACAGUGUACGACUCUGUACCGACUCCUGCAGUGAAGAAAGUGAGUGUGAGCUCUGAGAGCUGCUCCUUACUGUGUUUGGUGGACAGAGAGACCAAACUGCUGUGGUUUAAAGACGAGCAGAGACUGAACCAGAGCAGCUCUGCGCUCUCUCUGCCUCUCACUGUGCACAAACAGGACUUCAGCUCCUCUUACAGAUGUGUGGCUGCAAACCCUGCAGAGAAUAAAACUCUUCCUGUCCAUGUGAAUACGACCUGUGGAGACACCAACAACGACACCAACAGCUCGACUGAACCAAGAAGCUAUAACAUCCUCAUUAUAAUCUUCUGUGUCCUGAGUGCUACCCUCAUCAUCAUCAUCAUCAUGAAGAGGAAGCAUCCUGUCCAAGACAAGUUUAACCUCCUACAAGCUGCAGGCAGGGCUCCUGUGGAUGAAGUGGUCCUUUAUACUGACACAGGUGACAGCAGACAGGGUGGGAUUUUAGCGGCUGUAUCAGGAACCAGUGAUGGCUCCAGUCUGACAGCAGUGUCUUAUAAACUGGUGCUCAUCACAUGAUGACAGACUCUGCUGAUAACAUCUGAGACCUGAAGCUACUUUCAGCUGCUCCCUAAUUUACAAGGAGUGACCAGAGUGAACAGACGCCACCUUCCAGGGAUUUGUGUCUCCUCCACUUUUUUCUAGAAAAGUCUAAUUGUUGUGAGAUGAUGUAAUUUCUUUGGAACGUCACAGAAACUCUUUUUCUUUCCACUUUCAAGCUCUAACAUUGUUAGGAUCAUUCCUCUGACGAGUAGCUUCAUGGUAAAAAGUGCAAAUUUCAGCCUCCAUCCUUGAAACUGUUCUAACAGGUACGUCAGAUAUUAAAUAUGGGAAUCACAGAUGCUCAGACUGAGAAUUUUUCUUAAAAUCCAUUUAUUGAUAUAUACUGACCAACAGUCAAAUUGUGUCACAGAGAUGUUCACACAUACUUUUUCGUAAAAUUGGACACUGUAAUAAAAAUGCCACCCUGAGUAUUG
Oreochromis aureus is the source of this 1397-nucleotide long non-coding RNA. The record is from Ensembl. Lineage: Eukaryota; Metazoa; Chordata; Actinopteri; Cichliformes; Cichlidae.